Molecule: long non-coding RNA, 1819 nt
Filed under: Gallus gallus (chicken)
Lineage: Eukaryota; Metazoa; Chordata; Aves; Galliformes; Phasianidae
Description: lncRNA (ENSGALG00010027047.1)
Source: RNAcentral
AAGGUUCUUACAUUCAUUUAGAGCAGUGUUGACUUUAAUGAGAUUCCUCAGCUGUACCUGCUUUUACCACGUCAUUUCAACUGCAGGACGAGGCUUCCCAUGCAAAAUGUCUUCAGUAAACACGAUUCAGACGGUGUUCUGUUUGGCCAAAGCAGAGCUGUGGGGAGAGUCUUCAUUCCCCCACGUAGCAUCUUCCACCAGCAAGAAAAGCUGAGACUCCUUGGAAUUCAAAAUGUUGAGAAGUGGACAUGAUGCAGAAUGUUCUGUUUUCGUUUCCCAAGUGAUAGAUCCCAGCACCACUGAUGGGUUUCAGCUAUGAGGGUCUCAUCUCUGUGCCCGAAAGACGAGGCUUUGCCAAUGGCGAGAAGUGACACACCGUGUGAUAACCAAAUCGUGACACGAUGGACUGGAAAUUUCAGAUUAAUAAGCCUCUUUCGGAAGGGAACUAAAUAACUUUUGCAGUCUUAUCUAUGGCUAUUUGUUUCUCCGAAGAUUUAUGGUCCUCGCAACAGAUCUGCAUCUUAUCUUUCGCUCCUCAGAUUAAAGGAAGAUGGUGUGAAGCAGGUGUCUGACUGGCAUCAUCUGGAAUUGCAGAUGAUCUUCCUUUAAAAAAACCACACUGCAAGUGAACUUGCAAGUCAAAUGAGAAUAUCAUUGCAUGUGUCAGGGUCUGGGAGAGAAACCUGCAUCCAGCUAAACAGGGCCGUCCCUCUCCUUGUGACCCGUGUCCUCGGGCAGCCCUUUGCCAGCCAGGUGCGAUCCGUAAUGCUUAACGGGGAAUUAAAACUUCUCGUGCUGCUGCUGCUUUAAUUGAUUGAUGCUAAAAGUUUAGAAACUAAAAUCUAAGCAGCUCUUACAAAGCUCCUUUAACCAAGCCUUCCCCUUUGAAAGCCGGAUCCUCAAUUGAAACUGGCAGCCCACAUUUUUAGGUUUCAAGCAGCUCUGUCAUUCUACGAGGAAUGUGUCUGCCACUUCACACGAUAGCUUGAGCUGAAAGACAUGUACUUUGAAUCAGAGAAUCAAUAGAACACUUAAUGGACAAUUAGGAGAACAGCUGUAGGACUGUCAAAGGCCCAUCUGUACACAGCUCCGGCAGCCUCGCCUGGACAGGGCACUGCACACAGCUUUCUGCCCCGGGGCACCGGCUCCCAUUACAAAAUCCCCCUUUCAUUUCACAUUUAAUGUUAAUAUAGUGUGCUUUUUUUCAUUACAAAUUUUAACACGUGUAGAAAAUUAUGGAGAUUGCUCGGGCCAUUUGUCAACUCACAUCAUGCGAAUUGAUCAAUAAAUUUCACCACUUUGUUGUUAAUGUGGAUAAAUUUUGGCAUUUAAUUAAGCUACAGCGAAAACGUGGCCACUUUUAAUUUCAGCAGAUGCUACCUUUUCAUCUGUAAUCCGGGGCUGCAUCGGCAGUGCAAUCCAGUCGCUAAAUAUUUAUAGACAACAUGACAAUUCCUGAAAGAGUUAUCAUCGGCGGUUUUGGUUCUGCAACAAUUAGCGUUGUUUGGAGGAGCUCAUGUGGAAAGCCAAAAAAAAUCCCGAGCAGCGGAUGAAGUUAUGACUCUACAGAUGCAUCGCAUGUAUAUAAAGUGCAUAAAUCUACGCUCUGCAAAAAGAGAUUAUUACAGGAAUACCAUCCGCGGCGCACACACGCACACGAGCCCGUGUAAAUUCUGGCAAGCAGGCACUGAUCCCUGCAUAUGUAAACUCUCACAUAUCAGACAUCUGAACGGAUAUCGCUGCGAAUCAGACCUGCAAACCAAUAUUUACCCUUAAUGGAGCUGCUUUGCAAAAAUGCAAUGGCAGGGAUUGAUCUCGG